This 538-nucleotide long non-coding RNA is filed under the name Cricetulus griseus (Chinese hamster). RNAcentral's name for it is "lncRNA (ENSCGRG00015029499.1)". Lineage: Eukaryota; Metazoa; Chordata; Mammalia; Rodentia; Cricetidae. The record is from RNAcentral.
GUUCUGUCAAUUCUCUAAUGUGACUUUCCUCCAGUUUCUUCAUGUGGGCACUUAGUGCUAUGAACUUCCCUCUUAGCACUGCUUUCAGGGUGUCCCAUAAGUUCAGAACCUUUUCCGGUGACCAGUUCCUCUUUGGCAUUGGACCUGGGCUCCUCUCCAGCAUUCCAGAAGGUUCGUCCAGACAGCACUAGCGGAGAUGUAGUCAGAUGGCUUCAGGUGACGGGAGGAACGCGAAACCAGCGCAGUGGUCUAACAGCCAGACCUUUAAACCGGAGUGGGACAGCGGCUCGGCCUGGUAGUCAUAGCAGAGGGUUAGCGUCAGCACACUGGCAGCCUGGAGAGUAGCUGCUACCCUGUCGACAACUUUGCCACUGUGUUCUUUGAGCCCCUGCCUAUGAAUGAAUCUCCAGUGAGCCUACAGAACUAUCCGGUUGCCUCGACAGGUUCCCCAACACAAUUGCUUCCUAACUCCAAGAAGGAAGUGAACCAGCACCAGUACACCCUGAGCCACCACAGUCCUGUGCUUCUCAGCUUCUCC